AUGUUAAUCAGGGUAGGGUAAGUCGACCCCUAAGGCGAGGCCGAAAGGCGUAGUCGAUGGGAAACAGAUUAAUAUUUCUGUACUCGAUAUAAUUGCGAUGGGGGGACGGAGCAGGCUAAGCAAGCAUGGCGUUGGUAGUCCAUGUGAAAGUGAGUAGGGCGUUUGUUUAGGUAAAUCCGGACGAACACUAAACCUGAGACACGAGACGAGUCACUAAGGUGAUGAAGUUGCUGAUGCCAUACUUCCAGGAAAAGCCUCUAAGCUUCAGAUUAUAUGGAAUCGUACCCCAAACCGACACAGGUGGUCAGGUAGAGAAUACUAAGGCGCUUGAGAGAACUCGGGUGAAGGAACUAGGCAA
This 358-nucleotide ribosomal RNA is filed under the name Colwellia sp. 6M3. Its description in RNAcentral is "partial 23S ribosomal RNA". It matches the Rfam family "Bacterial large subunit ribosomal RNA", at positions 1362 to 1720 of the family's 2925-position model. The record is from RNAcentral. Lineage: Bacteria; Pseudomonadati; Pseudomonadota; Gammaproteobacteria; Alteromonadales; Colwelliaceae.